CUGUCUGAGCUGAAGAAUCAAAA
Molecule: non-coding RNA, 23 nt
Filed under: Cricetulus griseus (Chinese hamster)
Lineage: Eukaryota; Metazoa; Chordata; Mammalia; Rodentia; Cricetidae
Source: RNAcentral